RNAcentral lists this ribosomal RNA (301 nucleotides) under uncultured bacterium. RNAcentral's name for it is "partial 16S ribosomal RNA". It matches the Rfam family "Archaeal small subunit ribosomal RNA", at positions 459 to 760 of the family's 1478-position model. The record is from RNAcentral.
CAGUAGCCGCGGGAAAACCAGCACCUCGAGUGGUCAGGAGGUUUAUUGGGCCUAAAGCAUCCGUAGCCGGUUGUUUAAGUUUUCGGUUAAAUCUAUGCGCUUAACGUAUAGGCUGCCGAAAAUACUGGACAGCUAGGGAGUGGGAGAGGUACACGGUACUCAAUAGGAAGGGGUAAAAUCCUUUGAUCUGUUGAUGACCACCUGUGGCGAAGGCGGUGUACCAGAACACGUUCGACGGUGAGGGAUGAAAGCUGGGGGAGCAAACCGGAUUAGAUACCCCCGUAGUCCCUGUCUCUUAUAC